AAUGGCAGGUCAGCAUACUGCCGUGAAUACGUUCCCGGGCCCUUGUACACACCGCCCGUCACACCAUGAGAGUUGGGAAUACCCGAAGCCUGUGAGCUAACUUUACGAGGCAGCAGUCGAAGGUAGAAUCAAUGAUUGGGGUGAAGUCGUAACAAGGUAUC
RNAcentral lists this ribosomal RNA (161 nucleotides) under uncultured bacterium. RNAcentral's name for it is "partial 16S ribosomal RNA". It matches the Rfam family "Bacterial small subunit ribosomal RNA", at positions 1340 to 1500 of the family's 1533-position model. The record is from RNAcentral.